GGGGGGGGGGGGGGGGGGGCGGGGGGCGGGCGGGUGGGGCGGGGGGGCCCGGGGGGGGGGGGGGGCUCGGGGGGCGGACGGGUGAGUGACACGUGAGUACCCUGCCCUUGCCUUUGGGCUAGCUUCAGGGCCCUGGGGCUACUCCCGGAUAGGAGCUCCGGCUGCCUGGUGGGGGUUGGACAGUUUCGGCGGUCGGGGAUGGACUCGCGGCUUAUCAGCUUGUGGGGGGGGUAGUGGCUUACCCAGGCUUUGCCGGGUAGCCGGCCUGAGAGGGGGACCGGCCACGUUGGGACUGAGAUACGGCGCAGACUCCUACGGGAGGCAGCAGUGGGGAAUAUUGCACAAUGGGCGGAAGCCUGAUGCAGCAACGCCGCGUGCGGGAUGACGGCCUUCGGGUGGUAAACCGCUUUCGCCUGUGACGAAGCGUGAGUGACGGUAAUGGGUAAAGAAGCACCGGCUAACUACGUG
This 468-nucleotide ribosomal RNA is filed under the name uncultured bacterium. RNAcentral's name for it is "partial 16S ribosomal RNA". The stretch from base 58 to 468 matches the Rfam family "Bacterial small subunit ribosomal RNA", at positions 39 to 507 of the family's 1533-position model. The record is from RNAcentral.